GACGAACGCUGGCGGCGUGCUUAACACAUGCAAGUCGAACGGUAAGGCCCUUCGGGGUACACGAGUGGCGAACGGGUGAGUAACACGUGGGUGAUCUGCCCUGCACUUCGGGAUAAGCCUGGGAAACUGGGUCUAAUACCGGAUAGGACUCCGGACUGCAUGGUCUGGGGUGGAAAGCUUUUGCGGUGUGGGAUGGGCCCGCGGCCUAUCAGCUUGUUGGUGGGGUGAUGGCCUACCAAGGCGACGACGGGUAGCCGGCCGGAGAGGGUGACCGGCCACACUGGGACUGAGAUACGGCCCAGACUCCUACGGGAGGCAGCAGUGGGGAAUACUGCACAAUGGGCGCAAGCCUGAUGCAGCGACGCCGCGUGAGGGAUGACGGCCUUCGGGUUGUAAACCUCUUUCAGCACCGACGAAGCGCAAGUGACGGUAGGUGCAGAAGAAGGACCGGCCAACUACGUGCCAGCCGCCGCCGCAG
RNAcentral lists this ribosomal RNA (478 nucleotides) under uncultured bacterium. Its description in RNAcentral is "partial 16S ribosomal RNA". It matches the Rfam family "Bacterial small subunit ribosomal RNA", at positions 28 to 523 of the family's 1533-position model. The record is from RNAcentral.